GCCGAAGUGGUGAAAUUGGUAGACACGCUGUCUUGAGGGGGCAGUGGGAGAAAUCCCGUCGCGGUUCAAAUCCGCGCUUCGGCA
Molecule: transfer RNA, 84 nt
Filed under: Candidatus Zixiibacteriota bacterium
Lineage: Bacteria; Pseudomonadati; Candidatus Zixiibacteriota
Description: tRNA-Leu
Rfam family: tRNA
About the family: Transfer RNA (tRNA) molecules are approximately 80 nucleotides in length. Their secondary structure includes four short double-helical elements and three loops (D, anti-codon, and T loops).
Source: RNAcentral